Molecule: unclassified non-coding RNA, 208 nt
Filed under: Basidiomycota sp.
Lineage: Eukaryota; Fungi; Basidiomycota
Description: partial contains small subunit ribosomal RNA, internal transcribed spacer 1, and 5.8S ribosomal RNA
Rfam family: Eukaryotic small subunit ribosomal RNA (bases 1-47)
Source: RNAcentral
AAAGUCGUAACAAGGUUUCCGUAGGUGAACCUGCGGAAGGAUCAUUAACACGUAUCCUUACGUUUAACCACCCGUGCACCUUCAUUGGAGACUUGCAACCCCCCGCCGGGGGCAAGUAUCCCAAACCGCGUUCACCUGUGGCGAAAUGACGACGAACGGUAAAACGUUGAAGAAUCGUCAACUGUUAACAAUGGAUAUCUUGGCUCUC